Molecule: long non-coding RNA, 2217 nt
Organism: Mauremys reevesii (Reeves's turtle)
Lineage: Eukaryota; Metazoa; Chordata; Testudines; Geoemydidae
Exons: 2
Source: RefSeq, a predicted model, not a curated record
CUUAACAGGUUGUUGCCAUGUGCCUUCUUCCUCAUUAUCAAAGAUGAUUUUGGACUUCAGAAAUGGCCCUUCCCUACCCCUUCUUCCCCAAAUCUGCUCUGUUGAUUGGAUCCUGCAGUGAAGUCAGACUGUUGGAUUGGUGACAUCACAAUCAUUUCCAUAGCAACAAACUGUGGUGUCGUCACAGGAUCAUCAUUCAUUGGAGGAUCUGGCAUGGGAAGGAGCCUAGUUCGAGGGAGACAUGCCCAGCCCAGGGCUUUGCUCUUUGGAUAAUCGUCUCUCUUGUCCCAUUUGCCCCAGUCUGAAGGUCUCAGUGUAGGGAUACAAAGACUGCAAGCCCUUCACAUGUCUCAGCUGUGCUGAGGCAGACCCUGCAGCUUAGGAUUCGUUGGAGAUGUGUUUCAGACACUGGCCUCACUUCUGACAGCUACUGGCCUAAUCCUGGUCCCGAGGAAGCCAAGGAGAGUUCUGUCGACAGUCUCCGAGGCAACAGGAUCUGUGGUUUCAAGUCGCCUGAAUCUGGAACAGGAUCCAAAGGCUGCACCUUCCUAACUGACGUAAAAGCUGGAGCAAAGUUCAUCAAAACAGAGUGUGGGGUUUGCAGGGUGGAAGGCAACAACAGAAACUGUGUCCAUUAUCUGUGACUGCCAAAGGACAGGGAAGCACACACAGUGCUGGCCUGAUAGGCUCUGCUCCUCCCUCCCCUCUCUGGGCCUCAGCCUGCCCUUCUGGAGAAUGGGGCUCUACCCAGGGAACAGCAGGUUUGCUCUCUAACGCUGUCCCUGCUGAUGCUGCUCAGAGCCAGACAAGCUUGCGAGGCUUGUUCAGAAUGGGUGUAGUUCUGAGCACAGCAGAGCAGGGCUCUCUUUGCCGGGAGGGGGAUUCCCCUUCCCUUGGCCAAAGGAAAGCACCUUGACCUAACCUGGCAAUUCACUGGCUGCAGUGCCCAAGUCCGCACUUCAUUGACAUUUUCCUCCAUCUAGAACACUCAGACACUGGCAGCAGCUGCCUCCUGCUCCCAGUGACUCCCACAUCCAGCCCCGGCUACAGCCACGGGGAGCAGGGCCUCUCCACUUUGCCCCUGAAAGCUACUGGAGAAUUCCGAUAUCAAAUGAAUCUUUACACCCACAAGUCAAGGAGAGCAAUUCACAGGCAGGGCCAGGUGGGAGGCUGGGUCGCCUUUUGCACCUUUCUCGCCUUUCUCAGCUGAGGCUGGAGCUGAAAUAGAAGUGUGGAAUAUGACAGGGAACCUGGAGUUGAUAGUGCUGGAAAGACAGGCCACUGGACCCAGUGGUCUCUUAUAGUGCUGCCCAUCACCAUAAUAUCUGGGCCUCUUCUGCAUAAAAUCCAUAGCAAUAGUUAUGUUCCUAAUUAACUUCAUAGAGUGUCUUACUCUUCUCCUUUCUCAGGGUAAAACCUCAGUUGGGGCAGGCUGGGGUUAGCUGGUGAAAGAGGUAUCUCUGGUGUGGGCCUCAGUCUUCUGCAGUCCUGGCCUCAGGCUGCAGAUAAAAUGCAGAGAUCAUAAAUAACAACAGUGCAGCACCGUGCAGCUGGCAGCAAAGGAGCUGGAACUGGCUUGUAACUUGGUCCAUCAUUUGCCCUGUCAUGUGGUAGCUGUAGUAAGUGCAGGUCCUGAUAAAGGCCCAGUAUGAGGCCUGAGGCCUGAACUAAAGUAAUGGACAAGACUUAGCUAAAAAGCAAAGUAAGGCUGUGAGCUGAAAGCCGGCUCAGUUCACAGAAGCUGGCAAGAAAAGGGCUGAUGUUGCAUAAACAUAUAUUCACCUAGCAUACCGAAGUAUAAACACAGCACCAGAAUACACUAUAAUGGAACAUUCCAUAGAUAAUAAAGGACAGGCCGACCCAUCCCAAUGACAGGGGCAAAAGGGUAAUAUGAUGGAUAGAGUUGUUUUGAUCGAACCAACAUGUACAAGGUGAGAGGUGGCACCUCAAUACCUAGAGGGGUUGCACCCCAAUACAGCAGGUGUGUUGUGUAACUUGUUUGUACCUGUGUAUAAGAAUGUAUCCCUGGGGCGGUGUCUUUGUCCAGCCGAGGGGGCAGUGGAAAGUCCCGCCACUGACUGAGCUGAGUCCAUUGUCAGGGAGCACAUUUGUACUGGCUAGCUGUAUCUUAGCAGCACCUUGGACUACGUUUGCCAGGGAGCUGGACACUGUGCUUUUCUUCGACAAUAAACCUGGCCGACGUGCCUUUGUACCUUA